This is a long non-coding RNA of Protobothrops mucrosquamatus (brown spotted pit viper), 427 nucleotides long. RefSeq lists it as uncharacterized. The transcript has 3 exons. Lineage: Eukaryota; Metazoa; Chordata; Lepidosauria; Squamata; Viperidae. The record is from RefSeq and is a predicted model, not a curated record.
AUUAGUGCUGAAACGAACGCGGAAGCUGUUAUGACUCCUUCAAAUGGCAAUCAAACAGAAUGUCGUGUAGAAGCAUAUAAGUGACGUCUACAUGGAAUAGAAUACAGCAUGCCGUCCUUACUGUAUAUAUGACCCAGUGCCAAGAAAACUGCAGACUGUCCAUCAUGUCAUCGGGAAUGAAGCUCGACUUGAAAGGCUUUAGUUUACAGUAGAUCUUAUUCAUUAGGAUUACAAUGGGUAAACUGAAUCCGAAGCAUGGGAAAGCCUAAAAGAUGAAAGAAAAGCCAAAUGCUUAUGUAAAAACUACAUUCUCCAGCAUACAUUUCAACCCUAGAAGGGCAAAAGGAAAAACGAGUUACAACAUGCUACAGCAGCAAGUCUUUCUACACAGAGGCAUGCAGGCAGGUGCAUUCUGAUGUUAUAUCAU